This 757-nucleotide long non-coding RNA is filed under the name Monodelphis domestica (gray short-tailed opossum). RNAcentral describes it as "lncRNA (ENSMODG00000035793.2)". Lineage: Eukaryota; Metazoa; Chordata; Mammalia; Didelphimorphia; Didelphidae. The record is from RNAcentral.
AUCUCCUGUGAGGGUGUGGGUGGGGAGAGGUGGAGAGUGAGUUGGACAGACAGGCAUCAGCUGAUGCUGGGACCAUGGAGGGGACAGAGGAUAUUUAUGUAAAUCAAGAUCUGCCUUCGAAGCCAGGGCUAAGAAGAAAGGAGCCAGAACAGGUGCCCAGAGAUUUACAGAUGAGGAUUACCCCGACUAUGAGAACAUCUCAAUACCCUCAAGGAGCAAGGAUGGUGCUCUGGAGAGUCAAUCAGUGCCCAUCCAGUGUGGCUCUGAGUUUUCCCAGAAGCUCAACAUUUUGAAGUGGGAGCUGAGGAAUGUUUCUAGCACCCUCCACAAGGAGCAUGAGAACAUAAAGAAAUUGGAGACUGAGAUUGCUGCAAUAAAUAAAAAAACUAAUUCCUAUGAAAAGAUGGCAAGCCAGCUUAGAUCAGACCUGACCAAAAAUACUAAUACCUUGGAUCGUUUGAAGAAUCAAGUGGAAAAUUUGAAUAAGGCUCCACAACCAGGACCAAAUCCCAGUGCUAAUUCAACCUGAUAAUGAAGGAGACAAGGCUUCCAUCUGGGAAACGGGGCUUGUCCUAGAAGUUGGUGAGGCUGGAUCCCUCUGGCCUCAGUUUCCCUCUUGUGAUAUGGGUGUGUUUGUGUACUUGUGAUCAGUAUGUAAUGUGCUUUAAGGUACUCAAAGGAAAAGAAAAAUUAAACUUUGGACAUCAUUCUCCAGAUCAUGUCUAGUGCACAGUUUUAUUGGGUGUGUCCAGGGUGG